ACAAGAUCAAAGAGUCAACAUCACAGAGCCGUGGGGAUAGCAGUCCACCUGUGAAGGGUACAAUUAAAUGUUUUCAACUUCCUCUAAGACAUCCUGCCAUUGUGAAAGAAGAGGACAGCCAAAUGAAUACACAGGUGGCUGAACAUGAAAAGACAGUGGAGUGUGAUUGGUGCUGUCCGUGGUCUUCCUGCUAAGGAAGUAGCCUUAACAAAGAAACUGGAGAUGUAAAGGGCAGUCUGAACUGGCUAGACUCAGAAGGCAGCAGUGGAGGAACUUUUAGCUGCAGCUUUUAAAAUACAAAGAACAGAAAAGAUGAUGCUAUAGAAGCCAUUUCUGUGAAAUAGAGACACUUCAAAGAGAAAGAGCUGCAAAAACCUUGGAUGGAUUAAGCCACGCCAAGAAAAUCAUGACAGGCAUAGUCAAUGAAGAUACUUGAGUUUAAAAGGACCACUCUUCAUAGAAAAGCUGUCCUUUAUACUGCUCAUCGCCCAUGUCGGAGAAUGAGAAUCACCUGGGAUUCCAUAUCUAUCACUGAUUCCAUCUUUAGGAAACCUAAAGAGGCCACGUUAUGAGCUGCCCAAUACAGAAGGUGCCAUUUCUCUCUUUCCUGCCUCCUGUCCCAUCCCAUCCUUCUUCAUUGUUUGAAAUGCCUUCAGUUUUCAUGGGAAGAAUAUCUGUCUUAGAUAAUUUCUAAUGCAUCAAUAAAACACCACAGACUGGGCAAUUCACAAA
Peromyscus leucopus (white-footed mouse) is the source of this 732-nucleotide long non-coding RNA. RefSeq lists it as uncharacterized. The record is from RefSeq and is a predicted model, not a curated record. The transcript has 2 exons. Lineage: Eukaryota; Metazoa; Chordata; Mammalia; Rodentia; Cricetidae.